ACUCGAGUGGCGAACGGGUGAGUAACACGUGGGUGAUCCGCCCUGCACUUCGGGAUAAGCCUGGGAAACUGGGUCUAAUACCGGAUAGGAGCAAUUUUAGUGUGAUGGUUGGAAAGUUUUUCGGUGUAGGAUGAGCUCGCGGCCUAUCAGCUUGUUGGUGGGGUAAUGGCCUACCAAGGCGGCGACGGGUAGCCGGCCUGAGAGGGUGGACGGCCACAUUGGGACUGAGAUACGGCCCAG
RNAcentral lists this ribosomal RNA (240 nucleotides) under uncultured Actinomycetales bacterium. Its description in RNAcentral is "partial 16S ribosomal RNA". It matches the Rfam family "Bacterial small subunit ribosomal RNA", at positions 89 to 334 of the family's 1533-position model. Lineage: Bacteria; Bacillati; Actinomycetota; Actinomycetes; Actinomycetales. The record is from RNAcentral.